RNAcentral lists this ribosomal RNA (680 nucleotides) under Geotrichum candidum. RNAcentral describes it as "eukaryotic LSU rRNA". The stretch from base 355 to 680 matches the Rfam family "Eukaryotic large subunit ribosomal RNA", at positions 1 to 341 of the family's 3401-position model. Lineage: Eukaryota; Fungi; Ascomycota; Dipodascomycetes; Dipodascales; Dipodascaceae. The record is from RNAcentral.
UCUUGGUCAUUUAGAGGGAGUAAAAGUCGUAACAAGGUUUCCGUAGGUGAACCUGCGGGAGGGUCAUUAUGAAUUAUAAAUAUUUGUGAAUUUACCACAGCAAACAAAAAUCAUACAAUCAAAACAAAAAUAAUUAAAACUUUUAACAAUGGGUCUCUUGGUUCUCGUAUCGAUGAAGAACGCAGCGAAACGCGAUAUUUCUUGUGAAUUGCAGAAGUGAAUCAUCAGUUUUUGAACGCACAUUGCACUUUGGGGUAUCCCCCAAAGUAUACUUGUUUGAGCGUUGUUUCUCUCUUGGGAUUGCUUUGCUCUUCUAAAAUUUCGAAUCAAAUUCGUUUGAAAAACAACACUAUUCAACCUCAGAUCAAGUAGGGUUACCCGCUGAACUUAAGCAUAUCAAUAAGCGGGGGGAAAGAAACCAACAGGGGUUGCCUUAGUAACGGCGAGUGAAGCGGCAAAAGCUCAAAUUUGAAAUCGGCCACCAGGUCGAGUUGUAAUUUGUAGAUUGUAUCUUGAGAGCGGGUUAAAGUCUGUUGGGACACAGCGCCUUAGAGGGUGACAGCCCCGUAAAAUCUAUUCUCAUUGUAAGAUACUUUCGAAGAGUCGAGUUGUUUGGGGAUGCAGCUCUAAGUGGGGGGUAAAUUCCUUCUAAAGCUAAAUAUUGACGAGAGACCGAUAGC